UACGGAGGGUGCGAGCGUUGUCCGGAAUCACUGGGCGUAAAGGGCGCGUAGGCGGCCUGAUAAGUAGGGGUGAAAUCCUGCGGCUUAACCGCAGGGCUGCCUUCUAAACUGUCGGGCUAGAGCACGGUAGAGGCAGAUGGAAUUCCCGGUGUAGCGGUGGAAUGCGUAGAGAUCGGGAAGAACAUCAGUGGCGAAGGCGGUCUGCUGGGCCGUUGCUGACGCUGAGGCGCGACAGCGUGGGGAGCAAACCGG
This 252-nucleotide ribosomal RNA is filed under the name uncultured bacterium. Its description in RNAcentral is "partial 16S ribosomal RNA". It matches the Rfam family "Bacterial small subunit ribosomal RNA", at positions 524 to 776 of the family's 1533-position model. The record is from RNAcentral.